Molecule: non-coding RNA, 728 nt
Organism: Cyanistes caeruleus (blue tit)
Lineage: Eukaryota; Metazoa; Chordata; Aves; Passeriformes; Paridae
Source: RefSeq, a predicted model, not a curated record
AGCCCCUGCGCCGGCCCGCCCCCGCUCCAGGAGCACCGGCCUGGGACGGGAGAUGGGGCCGUGGGAGGGCACUGUGGGAGUGCUCUUCACGGCUGUGGCUUAGUGUGUGCUAAGGGACCUGCCCACAUGUGGGUUACAGCUGUUGUGAGUCGUUCAGCCAUCGCACACCCUCUGUCUCCGUGGACUGCCAGUCGCAGUGGGAGGCUGCUCUGAGUGGCAUAGUCUGAGAAACUCAACAGAGGAGUCUGCAGCUAUCACUGGGAGGAAGAGGUUUGGAGAACCCAGAGAAGAAAUUGCUGGAAUGACCCUGGUUCUCAGAGGAAAAAUAAACAGGCACAUGACAUUAAUCACAGUCCUUGGGUAUCGUAUUGGAAGUCUCGCAAAUACUUUCGAUGUGGAAAUGUGAACUAGGUUUGCAUCUUUGGAAAACACCAAUGACAGCUUAUUGUUUGCUAGUACUUACUCUCCUAUUCUGAUAAAUGAUUCCAAUAAUUCUUUAAAAUUCUUUUGUGACUGUGUUCCUUUUUAGAUGCCAGAAGAGUUCAAAAGUUUAUGAAGACAACCUUGAACAGCUUGCAUCUGUGUGUGUAUAUUUGCAUAAUUGGGCUAAGUUUUCAUUUGAGAGAAAAUAUGGAUCACAUAAAAGGUUCAGAGGUGAUUCAAAGAUCCAGAGUCCCUUCAGCAAGUACUAUCAAACAUGGCCAAAAAUGUUUUCUUUAAGAUAGUUU